RNAcentral lists this ribosomal RNA (1843 nucleotides) under Porphyromonas gingivalis SJD11. RNAcentral's name for it is "bacterial LSU rRNA". It matches the Rfam family "Bacterial large subunit ribosomal RNA", at positions 1 to 1859 of the family's 2925-position model. The record is from RNAcentral. Lineage: Bacteria; Pseudomonadati; Bacteroidota; Bacteroidia; Bacteroidales; Porphyromonadaceae.
GAUCAAGUAAAAAAGAGCAUAUGGCGAAUGCCUAGGCGCUAGGAGCCGAAGAAGGACGUGGUAAGCUGCGAAAAGCUACGGGGAAGUGCAAGCAACUAAAGAGCCGUAGAUAUCCGAAUGAGGAAACUCAUACAGGUUAACAUCUGUAUAUUCCAUAAUGAAUCCAUAGUUAUGGGAGGGGAACCCGGAGAACUGAAACAUCUAAGUACCCGGAGGAAGAGAAAGAAACAUCGAUUUCGUCAGUAGCGGCGAGCGAAAGCGAAAGAGCCCAAACCUAAGUGGGAAACCACAUAGGGGUCGACACUCAGAAAGCAUUGAAGAACUUAGUCGAAUAUGCCUGGAAAGGUAAACCAAAGAAGAGUAAAAGUCCCGUAGACGAAAAGAGAAACAAGCAAGAGUGAUCAAGAGUACCACAGGACACGAGAAACCCGGUGGGAAGACGGGGGGACCACCCCCCAAGGCUAAAUACUACCAAGCGACCGAUAGAGAACAGUACCGUGAGGGAAAGGUGAAAAGAACCCCGGGAGGGGAGUGAAAAAGAACCUGAAACCAUAUGCUUACAAACUGUAGGAGCAAGCAAGCAAUUGCAAGUGACUGCGUACUUUUUGUAGAACGGGCCAACGAGUUGCGAUAUGAUGCAAGGUUAAAUACUUAAGGUAUGGAGCCGAAGCGAAAGCGAGUCUUAAGAGGGCAAGAGUACCAUAUUGCAGACCCGAAACCGGGCGACCUAUCCAUGUCCAGAUUGAAGUUUCCGUAACAGGGAAUGGAGGAUCGAACCCACGUACGUUGAAAAGUGCGGGGAUGAGGUGUGGAUAGCGGUGAAAUUCCAAUCGAGCCCGGAGAUAGCUGGUUCUCUCCGAAAUAGCUUUAGGGCUAGCGUUUUGCAAGAUAUAUAUGGAGGUAAAGCACUGACUGUCCAAUGGGUCUUUUAGAUUACUGAGGAUUAUCAAACUAAGAAUGCCAUAUAUAGCGCAAAGCAGUCAGACUAUGAGUGAUAAGGUCCAUAGUCGAGAGGGAAAGAGCCCAGACCAACAGCUAAGGUCCCAAAAUAUAUGUUAAGUGGGAAAGGAUGUGAGAUUGCAUAGACAACCAGGAUGUUGGCUUAGAAGCAGCCAUACAUUUAAAGAGUGCGUAAUAGCUCACUGGUCGAGUGAUCCUGCGCCGAAAAUUACCGGGGCUAAAACAUAAUACCGAAGCUUUGGAUUAUACUGUAGAGUAUAGUGGUAGGAGAGCAUCGUAUACAGGAUGAAGCAGAAUCGAAAGAAAAAGUGGACCGUAUACGAGAGAGAAUGUUGGCAUGAGUAGCGAGAGGAAGGUGAGAAUCCUUCCGGCCGAAAACCUAAGGUUUCCUGAGGAAGGUUCGUCCGCUCAGGGUAAGUCGGGACCUAAGCCAAGGCCGAAAGGCGUAGGUGAUGGACAACGGGUAAUAAAUCCCGUACCACCGUAGUUGAAUGAGCGAAGGGGGGACGCAGGAGGAUGACCGGAGCACGCCGUUGGUAGAGCGUGUCCAAGCAGAAAGCGAGUAAGACCAGGCAAAUCCGGUAAUACAAUCGUAAUCUGUGAUGGGGAGUGAAAAUAAAGUAGCGAAGCCGAAUCAUUCAAACUGCCAGGAAAAGCCUCUAGCAAGACCAAGGUGCCCGUACCGCAAACCGACACAGGUAGGUGAGGAGAGAAUCCUAAGGCCAGCGAGAGAACUGUUGUUAAGGAACUCGGCAAAAUAACCCCGUAACCUAGGGAGAAGGGGAGCCUGUGAGAGCAGGCCGCAGAGAAUAGGCCCAAGCGACUGUUUACCAAAAACAUAGGUUUCUGCAAAACUGCAAAGUGAAGUAUAGGAGCUGACGCC